Non-coding RNA from Misgurnus anguillicaudatus (oriental weatherfish), 271 nucleotides. Lineage: Eukaryota; Metazoa; Chordata; Actinopteri; Cypriniformes; Cobitidae. The record is from RefSeq and is a predicted model, not a curated record.
CAUGUAUUAAAGCGAUCGAGUCACGAUGGUAUCUACAGUCGAAAAAUGCCAACGUAAAGCUUUCAGUUUGUCAUCCAGGAGAUUUUAUUUUGUAUAUGAGAGAUGACACAGCAACAAAUGCAAGAGUAGGUGAUGAAACGAAGAUGAUGAUGAUGAUGAGACGACAGGAGCCAUGGAUGUUGAAAUCAGUCCGGAGGAGAUGUCUUUAAAUACACUGUUUGUGCACUGAUAUAAACUUCAUAUGUAAAUAAAGUACCGCGUUAUUACUACG